RNAcentral lists this ribosomal RNA (497 nucleotides) under uncultured bacterium. RNAcentral's name for it is "partial 16S ribosomal RNA". It matches the Rfam family "Bacterial small subunit ribosomal RNA", at positions 28 to 507 of the family's 1533-position model. The record is from RNAcentral.
GAUGAACGCUGGCGGCGUGCCUAAUACAUGCAAGUCGAGCGAACGGACGAGAAGCUUGCUUCUCUGAUGUUAGCGGCGGACGGGUGAGUAACACGUGGAUAACCUACCUAUAAGACUGGGAUAACUUCGGGAAACCGUAGCUAAUACCGGAUAAUAUUUUGAACCGCAUGGUUCAAAAGUGAAAGACGGUCUUGCUGUCACUUAUAGAUGGAUCCGCGCUGCAUUAGCUAGUUGGUAAGGUAACGGCUUACCAAGGCAACGAUGCAUAGCCGACCUGAGAGGGUGAUCGGCCACACUGGAACUGAGACACGGUCCAGACUCCUACGGGAGGCAGCAGUAGGGAAUCCUCCGCAAUGGGCGAAAGCCUGACGGAGCAACGCCGCGUGAGUGAUGAAGGUCUUCGGAUCGUAAAACUCUGUUAUUAGUGAAGAACAUAUGUGUAAGUAACUGUGCACAUCUUGACGGUACCUAAUCAGAAAGCCACGGCUAACUACGUG